CGCAGGAUGUGGCAACACAGUCAGUGUUCGAGCAGGAGUCAGCAGAGGUCAUGGUAGGUGUAGGACCGCGUCAUGGAC
RNAcentral lists this non-coding RNA (78 nucleotides) under Desulfoluna spongiiphila. Lineage: Bacteria; Pseudomonadati; Thermodesulfobacteriota; Desulfobacteria; Desulfobacterales; Desulfolunaceae. The record is from RNAcentral.